UCAAGAGCUAGCAAGUCUUGGCAAUAUGGAUAAAACUCACCAAAGGAAAUGGGAAAGAGUCCCACAUCAAGAUAGAAGUUAGGGGAAUCCCUUUGUCACACCCCAAUUUUCGAAGGAUAAAUUUUCAAAAAUUUGGGCAUGAUAUAUCUCAAAAUAUUAAUAAUCUCAAAACCUAUUCAACAAACUUCAAACAAAACUAAAACUCAAUUUCUGAAAUGUAAAUGUCACAUAAUUCAACGCUGAGUUAAAUAUUACAUUUCCUUGUUUACAUAAACUUGAAAGUCAAGACAAUGAAAUCACUCACGUGAGUUUAAUAUUGUCUACCAAAUAUAAAAAUAUAAAGUGUACAACAUCUAAAACCCUACUAUUAUGCCUUCACCUCAACCCUGCUGAAACACCACCUGCAGGUCUAACCCUUCCACCAUAAAUUGGUGCACCGGGUUGUAAAACAACAAACCCGGUAAGCUAAAAAGCUUGUAUGAGUAAAUCUACUAUAAAUGACUCAACCUAAUAUCACAUAUGAAUAAAAUUGGUAAUUCCAGUAUUAGAAACUUAGUUCAAGAAUUGCCUAAAAGCAAAAGAAUUCAAAAGAGAGUAAUUAAGAAAACACAACAAUUCAUAAUCAAUCAAAUCAUAAAUGAAAUCCUACAAAAGCAUAGUUCAAGAAUUCAGCUAAAAAUCAUACAAUUAAGAUUAAAGAAUCUCCUGCGGAUAAGCAUAGUUCAGGAGAUACUCAAAGCAAGAAAUUUAAAUAGCAACACAUAAGAACAUCACACAAUCAUUUCUCUACUCUUACUUAUGAGUUCGUCAACACUUAGUCAUUCCCCAUAAGUAACCAAACAAACGCGUACUCAUGGGUUCGUCAACACUUAGACAUCCGCCAUGAAGUACCGACAGACAAACUAGAGCUCUAUACUGACUGUAACCAAUCACCCGGCCAAGGCUUGGUUCCCGGUCCACCACGAAGACUCCUAAUCUAAUGCACACAAUCACCACUAAGGCACACAUCCAUAACUAAUGCACACAAUCACCACUAAGGCACACAUUCACAACUAAGACACACAAUCACCACUAAGACACACAAUAAUCACAUCAAUAGAACCAAAAUUAUUAUGGUCACAAGAACCUUAAAAAUAAUCAUUUAAAUAGGAAAACUUGUUUUCUCUUACCUAUGAGCCGUUGACGAUUAAGCUCAUAUAUUUUAAAACAAACAAAAAAAAAUUUUUAAAUUAUAAUCAUCAUAAUCAUCAUCAUAAUAAUUAUCAUCAUCAUCAUUAUCAUCAUCAUCAUCAUCAUCAUAAUAAUUAUCAUCAUCAUCAUCAUCAAAAUCAUCAUCACAAUCAUCAUCAUAAUCAUCAUCACAAUCAUUAUCAUCAUCAUCAUCAUAAUCAUCAUCAUAAUAAUUAUCAUAAUCAUCAUCAUCAUAAUCAUAAUAAUAAUAAUAAUAAUAAUAAUCAUCAUCAUCAUAAUAAUUAUCAUCAUCAUCAUCAUCAAAAUCAUCAUCACAAUCAUCAUCAUAAUCAUCAUCAAAAUCAUUAUCAUCAUCAUCAUUAUCAUCAUCAUCAUCAUCAUCAUCAUUAUCAUCACAAUCAUCAUUAUAAUCAUCAUCAAAAUCAUUAUCAUCAUCAUCAUCGUCAAAAUCAUCAUAAUAAUUUGGUCCAAAGUAAACCUUGGUGAGAUUUACUCACCUAAAUACUCCCGCUGCGUCUUCACAAAAAUACAAGGCCCAGCUCAAAAUCAACUUCACAAGUUACCUAAAUAACACCAUUAAUAACCUUAGUAACCAUUGUGAUAAAAGAUAUCAAAACACCCUUAAACUAAACCUUAGCCCAAAGGAAGAUAACCUUCUAAGGUCGUCGAACUUAACGACCCAAUAUAAAGUCCUAGCAUGCAAUCCUUGCUCAAAUCCUAAACUCAAAACCUCUUACAAGUCUAAGAUCAAACAUAAAGUCCUAGCCUGCAAUCUUUGCUCAAAACCUAGAAAUUCCACAUCUCAACAAGCUUACAACAACAUGAGCUAGCAAACCACAACAACCAAAACUACACACGCUGCCAUACACCGCCACAGGCGACGGCAAGUGGGCCCCACGCGCCACCGGCAACCCACGAACCGAGUCAUGUUCCAUACAUCAAACUCUUCAUCUCAACAAGCCCUACAAUAGUCUCAACUAUCACAAAGUCCAAUUUUAACUAAAGAAGGUGGAAUUUACCUCUCAAGUAAAAUGGGUGAUUGAAACCCUAGAAUUUCAAAUCCUCAAUUCAAGUCACCCUCCACACUUCAAAUCGGUUCAAGAGGCUUGGAGGGAUUGAUCCACGUCUCAGAAGCUUAAAAAGCCUCCAAGAGUUGUCGCCGAAGGUGACCGGAAUUAGGAAUUCUAACAAAGAACCCAAAAUGGCGCCACACAGCUGCUUCCUAGGCUUGCUGCACCGCCAGCUGCUCGAAUCUUGCUACCAAACCACUACAGACUUGUAGAGAAUCAAGAGAGCUUUCCAACGGUAUCUCAUUUGCCCAAAUCCGAGCUCGGAUGACCAAGAUAUGGCUGAAAAACGAAAGGAGGUUAGGAGAAGGAGAAAGAUGCGGGAUUUUUCUAAUUUGUUUGGUUUGGGUUUUCUGAUUUUUAUUUUCUAUUUAAAGACAACUUUCAAAAAUUGUUGGAACUUCCGCUGACCAUAACUUUCUCGUACAAACUCCGAUUAACGUGUGUCGUGUAUCUACGAACUCGUAUCGUCGUGCUCUACAACUUUCGUGAAGGAAGUUUCUCAAGAAACCCAACAAAUAAAAAGUCAACUCUAUGACCCUUAAAGAAAAAAGAACCCUUUCGGGUAAAUUAGGCGUCCAAACACUUCUACUCUUCUUUCGAACCUCAAAAACCCACUAACUUCUAACUCGAAAAUUCCCAAUUAAUAAUAAAAACUAUUCUUAAAUUUUCGGGGUAUUACACCCCUCAACCCCAAGCCUAUCUAAACAGAUGCAAACUUCCAAAUAAGGUAAAUCUAAAAAAUGUACUCACUUCCUCUUUUACUCUCGUCAUUACCCAUCUGACUUAACCAUGCAUCGGAGUGUUAUACGUCGGCACAUGCGGUCUAUCCUCUGACUUUUGGUUGUUUUAACAUGGAAAAGGUAAGAAAAGAUACUCAAACUGCAUUCUAAGUGGCACGUUAUCCGUCUGGAUACAAUGAUCAACGACGAAAACAAUUAGUGCUCUCGUUGAGAGUCGAAGUUAAGACAUCCUGUAUGGUCAAAAUUACAGCCACUAAUGUGGAUGAUUCCAGCUCUUCAGAGAUCCUAGGACAUAUCCAUUUCCCUCCUAGAAAUUCUAGACAGAUCCCGUAUCUGACAGACCAAUCUCGCGACAGCAUAUGACUUAAUAAAGCGAGACUUUUUCUCGUUUAAAAAUCGAGUUGCCCUGGAACACCGUGCUAAUGCCGCCCUCCAAGCCUAACUCCAAGAGAUGUAGAAUAAACAACAGAUCCUAGAGGAAACCCUGGACCAAAAGAUAAGCCAUAAAAAAGCUCUUGAAAGGGCUCUUAGAUGUUCACGCCGAGAUCUAAUGAUCCCGGGACAAGCUCCACAAAUAGCGGUAUCAGGAACAGUUCUCGCAAUUAAUGCUAUGUAGCCUUUCUGGUCCCAACCAUAGACUGUGUGUACACCCCUCCUACACGAUCCCUAAAUGGCCCACCCCCAAUUCUCACCUUGAUAAAUCUCGGUCCCAUCCCCAAUAUCUAGCAACAACGUCCACACGAUUUUCAAACUCAGCUCUUGGUACAGCUUAACCAAAGUGUCACCAACUUAGAAUCACGAUUUAAUGCUGACACCACAACAUGGUGCCCUACCCAUGCCAUGAGAACAGGACUCGUUACUUCCCAUAUUUAGGUCAAGAAGAAACCGGAGACCAUUCAAAAUCAAGAAGUAUAACAGUACCGGAGACCCGUAUCAUCAUCUGAGGUUUUUCAGUCCCAACUAGAUUCAACUCGGUAUGUAGAUCCCCAGGCUUGUCACGUCUUCGAAGAAACCUGAGUGAUGAAGCCCUAAGUUGGUUCCUUUAGCUCCCUGCAUGAUCCAUUGACAAUUAUGACCAACUAGUCAACCUAUGUUGUCACACCUCAAUUUUCAAAGGAUAAAUUUCAAAAAUUUGGGCAUGAUAUAACUCACAAUAAUAUAAUUCCCAAGACCUGUUCAACAAACUUAAAGAAGACUAAACUCAAUUGCAGAAAUGUAAUGUAAACACAACUCAACAUCGAGUUAAAUAUUACAUUUCCUUGUUUACAUAAACUUGAAAGUCAAGAAAUGAAAAUACUCGAAUAAGUUUACUAUUGUCUACCAAAUAUAAUAAUAUCAAGUGUACAACAGCUAAAAACCCUGCCACUAUACCUCCGCCUCAACCCUGUUGAUCAUCACCUGCAGGUCUAACCCCUACACCAUGAAUUGGUGCAUUGGGUUGUAAACAACAAACCUAGUAAGUUAAAAAGCCCGUAUGAGUAACUCUAAAAAAUAACUCAACCCAACAUCACAUAAGAUAAAACCGGUACACCAUGAAUUGGUGCAAUGGGUUGUAAACAGCAAACCCGGUAAGUUAAAAAGCUCGUAUGAAUAACUCCCAAAAAUAACUCAACCCAACAUAAGAUAAAACCAGUAAUUCCUGCUUUAGAACUUAGUUCAGGAAUCGUCUCAAAACAAUAAAAUUCAAAAGAGAGUAAAUAGGAGAGCAUAACAAUUCACAAAAUAAUCAAAAUCAUAAGUGAAUCCUGCAAAAAAGAUAGUUCAGGAAUUCCACUAAAAAUCACACAAAUAAGAUUAAAGAAUCUCCUGCAUUAAGCAUAGUUUAGAAGAUAUUCAAAACAAGGAACUUAAAUGACAACAAUUAAGAACAAUGUUAAAACCACAUAACCAAUACUUUUACAAAUAUACAUGUACCCAUGAGUCCCAGAUACCAAUAAGGUAUCUUCCAUGACCUACAACAAACACAUAUACCCAUGAGUCCCAGAUAUUAAUAAAUAUCUCUCAUACCUACAACAACAAUUUAUGUACCCAUGGGUCCCAGAUACCUUAAGGUACCUCUUAUGACCUACACCGACAGACAGACUAGAGCUCUAUUCCUAACCGUAACCAAUCACCUAGCUAAAGGCUUGGAAUCCAGUUUGACAGUCCAAUAUCAAAACACAAAAUAAUAAUAGCAUCAUAACUGUAACCAAUCACCCAAUUAAAGGCUUGGAACCUAGUUUGACUAUCUACACAACAAAUCACAAUAUAGUAGAAUCAUCAUAACCGUAACCAAUCACCAGAUUAAAGAUUUGGAACCUAGUUUGACUAUCUAAACAACGGAUCACAAAAUAAUCAUAUAAAAGGAAAACUUGUUUUAUCUUACCUAUGAGAUGUUGGCAAUCAAGCUCAUAUAUUUAAAAACAAACAAUAGCAUAUUCUUUAAAUUCAACAUCAUCAUCAAAAUGACCAUAAUAAUUUGGUCCAAAUGUGAACCUUGGUGAGAUUUACUCACCUAAAUAAUCCCAUUGCGUCUUCAACACAACAAAAGAGCCAAGCCAAUCAAACUUCACAAUCACCUAAGGUUUUAACCAAUUUGACCGGAAUCGGCCGGAAAAUGCCCUGAAACACCACCACAAACUCAACCUUCAAUCUAAGUUAGCCCCUCGUCGCCGUCGAAAUCGUCGGCUUUCCGGUGAGACAGCAACAACUCUGCCGUUUCGUGGCGGCUUCUAGGGGGUGAGACGGCAAGUGAGACUGCCCCAAAAAUGGAGAGGACGUCCGUGCGAACCCAACGGGAUCGGCGACGUCCAAUUUGGUGGCCGGAUGAAGGAGUUAUGUGCCGGAGAAGAAAGAGAGCAUGGGAGGGUCGAGAGAGAGGAGAGAGAAACUGAAACGGGGUUGGUGCAAAUUUAGGGUUUCUAAAAAUAACCGUCACACAUUUUUCUACUUAUACACAUUUUCAAAACCGGAAACUAAAUUCCUCUGACCAUAACUUUCUCAUACGACAUCCGUUUCACUCGUGCCGCGUGUCUACGAACUCGUAUCGACAAACUCUACAACUUUCAUGAAGGAAGUUAUCGAAAAUAACUUAUGGAUGAAAAGUCAACUCUUGACCCUUCAAAAUAAAACAUUUUCAACAAAGAAAUCUCUUGAACAUCUCUGCUCUUCCUUCGAACCUCAAAACUCACUAACUUCUAACUCGAAAAUUCCCAAAUAUUAUUAGAAACUAAUAUCAAAAUUCCGGGGUAUUACAUAUGUCACACCCCAAACCCGAUGUUGGUGGUUUCCAAGAACUUAACACCGAAUCCAAGGCGUGAACGAGAAAGUAAAAGAAAAUAAAACAAACUUAAAUACAUUUUUAGAAAUCGUCGAAAAUAAAUGUUACAAUAACGAAACCUAUUAGAAAGACAAAAAAAAGGUCUUGCGAUCUACCUAACUAGAAACUUCUGUAAUAUUUAUUGACUCUUGAACACGUCAACAAAACGUCACAAUUAGUUUUUUGGAAAAGACGUGUCCUUGUACGUACCUGAACAAGAAUCUAUAGUAAUGAGCUUACGCUCAGUGGGGCUAAAUCUCUUAAGGUCAUUCUUAGGGUUAAAUUUAGUUUACUCCCCUGAUGGCCAAACCUCUUAAGUUAUCAAAUAAUAUGUUAAAUAAAUAACAACAAUUUGAUGCAUGUAUGCUAAUAAACUCUCCCCACUCAUUACUGACUGAGUACUCCAUACAUCAAAGACAUAUGAGCCUACAAAUCUCAUACCGUGUAGAUGUCUCGAAUAUACAACCUAACAAUCAGUAAUAUUCCAACGCCAGUACCUCUUUUGUUAGUUGUAUUGUUAUACUCAUAAUCUUCAAACCUGAAACCCGUAAGAUCGUUUUAUCAACAUCCACCUUUGAAGAGUUUUGCAUUCCCUGAAAUUGUGCACGUGUUAGCUGACAUGGAUCUUGGAUUCCCCAUGAGAAAACUCAACUACACAAAAUGUAUAUUUUUUUUUCUCUCAAUCCCAUUAUCAUCUCUCCAUAAUCACCAAUCUCAUUAUUCUCACCAUGCAUUAUAUAUACCAAUAAGCAUCGCUGCUCGUACAAUAAAAAUCAACACAUGCUUAACAUUGAAAGUUAAUCACUCAAUGACACACAAUUCUCUGAUUUCAAUUAUAAUCUAAUUAUCAAUUUAUAGAAAGGUUCCCCAAGAGACCCUACCUGGAAUCCGAGUGUUUUCUGAAGCUAAACAAAAUUAGUAACACCGUGACACAUGCUUUCUAAAACCUUUAUCUUUCUGCUUCUAGAAUCCUGCUACUUGCAAUCAAUCCUCGUAAUGAAUCCUUAUUCUGAAAGAGUCGACAUAUCACUUCUAAUUAAUGCGACCAAGUCCUUGAAAUCACUAAGGACACCUAAAUACGUCUCCACCAAUUUCUCCGCACCUUUGAAGUCGACUAUACCAUAGUAUCCCAAUACCACUCCAAACACUAAUCCUAUUCUACUCUGGACUCCCAGAUCCUCAUUUCCAAAUCCACUCCACAAUCCAUAUAAGAGAAACGUAAUCUUCACAUACCACUUCAUCUUCCUUCAAAACACAUAUGUUCAAAAACCACAAUUAUAUAUAUAUUAGCUCCUAUCAUCAUGGUUGGCCGUACUUCCAAUUCGUCAACACACCGAUCUCCAACUUGAAAUUUAAGCAAAGUAACUAAAAUUACCAAACUUCAAAACCAUAUGAAGUCUCGAAAGACAAACUUUAACAAAAUAAAAAUUUGAAUAAUUUUCGAAAGCUACUAAAAACUCAAAGAACAUUUUCCUUUCAAAAAUAGAAAAUCGAAACUCCAAGAUGUUUCAACCUAGCUGGGUUAUGUCGGUGAUGAUGGUCCGGUGAAUCAUCUUCGAGUAGUGGAGGCAGGGGCGUCCAGAGAGGAUCGACCGACAUGGUGUUGUGUUGCCUGGAGGAGUUGAUCCAAUACUGGAUCAAUAUUUGACAAAGGCCACACACCUAGUGUGGUCAUUAGAGGUGUUGCAAUUCCUUUAUGUGUGGCAUUUUCCCUUCAUACUUCACAAAUACCCUUAUUUGCCACACUUACGGGGAAAUACAACACCUCUAAUGCCCACACAAGAUACGUGACAUUUACCCAAUAUUGUAGUAGUGAGCAGAAUUGUUGUUGUUGGGCUCUUAAUGAUGACCUGGUGAUGUCCGAGCUAUAUGUGGACACAUGCGGGAUGUAGUGAUGUCAAAUAAUGGUUUGGGCCUGCAUACUGGAUACAAUGGGCAAAUGUGCAAUCAGAGCAAUGUGACUACACUACGCCAGAUAAUGCAAAUAAUGGUUUGGGCCAUCAUACGACUGGCAAAAUGCGUCAUCUGAUAUAGGUCAAAACCGUUGUUAAUCCAAUUGUUGUUUGAUCAACAUGUCACACAACGGCAAAAAAGAGCUUGUCUGACCAACUUACACACAAUGCUACAAUAAAAACAAUUGUGUGACUCUCGGCAGAUAUCAUCGACAGCUGCCGACACAUGUCGAGCUGCUUUUCAGCAGCUAUCGAUAUAUGUUGAUGAAUUAUGCCGAGAAUCACACAAUAGUUUUUUGUAGAAUACUGUUGUGUGAUUCUCGACAGAUAUUAUUGACAAAUGCCGACACAUACCGAGCUACUUCUCGUCCAAUGAUAUCUGCUGAGAAUCACACAACAGCUUUUUUAGUGAAAACCCUUGUGUGGUUUUCAACUCACACGACUGUUUCCUUUCAAGAGUUGUUGUGUGAAUAUCGACAGAUUUCAUCGACAUAUGUCGAGAUCAUUCCACAUUGCAAUCGACAAUAUCUGUCAACAUUCACACAAUAGUUUUCUUACUGUAAACUAUUGUGUGAGGUGAUAUUCAUACAAUGGGUUUUCUCAAUUUCAUGGUUAUUUGAUUGUUAAAAAGUAGACAUGAUUUUUUCUAAUAGACAUUGUGUGAAUAGAUACUCACACAACGUUACAUUACAGAAUAAUUGUUGUAUAAUCAUUUUCAUCAGACAACGUUGGAUUGCCAUUAAUAUGUUGUAUGUCCUACUAAUUUACCAAAUAAAUAAUUACAACUAAAGCACAUUUAAAUCAUCAAAAUCUGACCAAAAGGAUCCAAACCAUUGUUUUAAAUGAGACUUUAGAAGCAUGCCCUAUUAUCCAUACAAGAAAUUAAAAUACAAAGUUGUACAUGAUACACAAUUUAGUUUGCAUGAAUCCACUUAUAUUAAUCAUCAAAUGACUUGAAUUGCAAAAUGAAAGCUCACUUCUGCAUGUUUUCCGGUCCAGCAAUCCAUGCUCAUAUAAUUGAUAGCUUCCUUAACCUGUGAUAUGACACAAAAAAAUUCACUCAUCAAGCCUCUUAACUAAAAGAAUAUUACAAGAGCAUGUACAAGAAUAAAACUCAUUUCAAAUAUUGGAUAAAUGAAUCAAAUUUCGUAGCAUACUCAAAAGCAUAAACAUUACAAGAUAAAUGAAGUUGGCAUACUUUGUUUCUUUCUUAAGAGGAAUGAGGGCAUUCACAAGAGACUAGAAUUUGGUCUCUUACAAUGAUCAAACUACAAGAGAUCAGCCAUAAACAGGCACAAUUAUAAAUAUGAUCAUAUUUUAAAUAUUGUAUAACAUGUAUUACAUAUCAAAGAAAACCAUAUAUAUAACACACACUUAUCUUAAUAUGUGUUGAAUAUCCAAACAAGUAGCCUAAAGAAACCACCAGUCCAACAUCCACAAUGUACUACUAGUAUUCAAUUAAACAUACCUACAUACUUCAAAGCUAGCUUCUCUUGCUGCUACACAUAUACCUCAAUCCAUAUCAUCCAGAAAAAGUAACCUGCAAAAAAACCACAAGUCUAGCAUCCUCCAUAAUCACUGUAUUAUUUAAAACACAUAAUUUGAAGCAUGAUGCUGCAUAUAUAACUCAACUCCUAUAUGUACUUGCAU
Molecule: long non-coding RNA, 9901 nt
Filed under: Fragaria vesca (wild strawberry)
Lineage: Eukaryota; Viridiplantae; Streptophyta; Magnoliopsida; Rosales; Rosaceae
Description: long non-coding RNA (FVES_LNC003009)
Source: RNAcentral